CCUACGGGAGGCAGCAGUAGGGAAUCUUUCACAAUGGGCGAAAGCCUGAUGGAGCAACGCCGCGUGCAGGAUGAAGGCCUUCUGGUUGUAAACUGCUUUUAUUAGCGAGACAUAUGAUGGUAACUUAUGAAUAAGGAUCGGCUAACUACGAGCCAGCAGCCGCGGGCAUACGUAGGAUCGGAGCAUUAUCCGGAGUGACUGGGUGUAAAGAGUUGCGUAGAUGGCCUAAUAAGUAGCUAGUGAAAACUGGUGGCUCAACCAUUCAGACUAUUAGCUAAACUGGUAAGCUUGAGACCGUUAGGGGUAACGGGAAUUGCUAGUGUAGGAGUGAAAUCCGUAGAUAUUA
RNAcentral lists this ribosomal RNA (346 nucleotides) under uncultured bacterium. Its description in RNAcentral is "partial 16S ribosomal RNA". It matches the Rfam family "Bacterial small subunit ribosomal RNA", at positions 338 to 699 of the family's 1533-position model. The record is from RNAcentral.